Molecule: long non-coding RNA, 1333 nt
Organism: Homo sapiens (human)
Lineage: Eukaryota; Metazoa; Chordata; Mammalia; Primates; Hominidae
Product: long intergenic non-protein coding RNA 1471
Source: Ensembl
AGAGGUGGGGGACAGAGUGGGUGGGGAGGGGAGCCGCCAUACAGUGGCCAGGACCAGCUUUGCCCAAGUGGUGGCAACCGCAUGACCACAGGAACGAUGGCGUGAGCCCCGUGGCAACCUGGAGGAAGGGCCAAGCCACUGGUGAAUAUGCUGCAAAAAAUAUGCUGGAACUUCUAUGAAUACCACAGGGUGUGAGAAGAAAACAUUAGAACUUCUAUUUUGUACCUGUGUUACUCCACAACAAGAAAGCAAUCAGCUUGAUCAAUGCCUACUGUAAAGACGGCACCGCCCUCCGGAGGUCCUUUCUCAGCCCUGGUGUUCGGACAGCCACAUCCCCUCGCAGCAGGGGGAGGCCUGAAGCAUAGAGGGGCCCAUGCAGGUCUAUUCUGUUUCAGCGAAUUGCCUGGGAAAUAAUCCAGGAUCCAUUUCGUGUGGUCAUCUUGUCUCCCUGGUCCCCUCCAGCCUUUCCUCAUCUUUUGUGACCUGGUCACUCUGGAAGGGCGCUGGCCAGUUAGUCCACAGGAUGGGCCUCCCCUGGGGCUUUUCUGAUGCUUCCUUAUGAUGGCACUGGCAUCCUGAGGGGGAGGACCACAGAGAGGAGGUGCUCCUCAUCACACCACAUGGGGGUCCAUGCACCAGUGCCACUGCUUUCCAGGGCUCUUCACCUUCAUCACUGGUGGAGGUGGCGUCUGCCAAGAAGCAGAAAGUUGAGGCUUAGAAGGUGCACGGCCCUACCUCUUCCGAGGUGCCCCUGCGGGCUGUCUACAGACCAGGCAGCACAUGCCUGAUAGCAGCUGCAUAAGGAAAAGCAGGAGCCAGCUCGUGCACAGUGGCCUCAAGUGUGCACUGGGCAUGUUCUCUGCCUCACCAUCCCUGUGUGACAGAUGAAGCAUGGCAAGCCAGGCUCCAGAGAAGCAUCCUGAGGACCAGUGUUCCUAGGGACCUCAUUCUUCUGACCUCAUUCCUACAACGUUUUGUCACUGCAAAGGAAAUCACCAAGGCCAGCAGCAUGACAGCCCUCAACAGAAGCCAAGGCCAAGUCCUCGAACUUCCUAGUCUGCACAAUGACAAGUGAGCUCAUGGAAACCUCUCCAUCGUUGACCAGGAUCUAUAGGAAAACCCUCCUCUUCUUCUAUAUGCAAAGGCUGCACAGCUCCUGGUUCACCUGCACCUCUCCAGACCACCAUGGUGCCUGCAGCUCUGAGGGCAUUUUAAAUCAUCACAGAACAACAAGCAUAUAAGCAUCAUGAGCGCCUCUGGACCUCUGACGUGCCUUGUGGAGGCCUGCCAGGCCCACGUUUUAAUUUACAUGAACUCGAUGCCCUUUUUGACA